This is a long non-coding RNA of Prionailurus viverrinus (fishing cat), 616 nucleotides long. RefSeq lists it as uncharacterized. NCBI's taxonomy places the organism in Eukaryota, Metazoa, Chordata, Mammalia, Carnivora, Felidae. The record is from RefSeq and is a predicted model, not a curated record. The transcript is spliced from 4 exons.
GGGAAAGGACCAUAAAUACCAACAUGACUAAAGCAUUCCCUGAGCCUGGAAGGAGUUUAAGAUUUACUCAGUUUGAAAAUUGCCAGAAAAAUCCUGGAGGUGGAAAGAAGAAGAGCCUUUGGGACUAUAUGAUACAAUCUUAGCAGGAUAUUGUUACAGGAUAAAGGGGAGUCAGGCCACUUAGUAGUGUCACGGAGCAUGGUCGUAGCCACAAGACUGACCCUAGGCCAGUAGAGAGAAGACCUGCAGAAGAAGGAGAAAGCUACUCUUCCUCAAAUCUUGCCUGAAGAUCUUUGCAAAGGCCGUUCCCUCUGCCUGGGAAAUGUCCUUCCUCCUUUUCUGGGUUACAUAAGACUGCAACUUCCAUCUUGCUGAUCACCUUCUCACCUUAUAUGCUUUGAUGAAGCAAGCUCACAUGUUGGAAAAGCUCAAGGAAUUGAAUCCUGGCAACAACCACAUGAGUCUGGGAGUGGAUGCUUCACCCAGUCAACCUUCAGAUGAGAUCCCUGCCCUGGCCAACACCUUGAUUACAGCCUUGUGAGAGACCCUGAAGCUGAGUACUUAGCUAAGCAUGCCUCAACUCCUAACCCUCAGAAACUAAGAGAUAAUAAAUGUG